This is a non-coding RNA of Misgurnus anguillicaudatus (oriental weatherfish), 1605 nucleotides long. The record is from RefSeq and is a predicted model, not a curated record. Lineage: Eukaryota; Metazoa; Chordata; Actinopteri; Cypriniformes; Cobitidae.
AUGUGGUGUGUUCAUGUAUGUACCUAAGAAGUGACAUGCUGUUAUACAAUUAUAUAAAGGUGAAUCUGUUUUAAUUCUAGUUGUCCAGCUACAGAUGAAGAUGCUUAGUAUGAUGAAUCAUCCUCUGUUGUCAUGGACGAACCUGGCGAUGUGUUAUGGAGGAGGAAAAAACAAAAAAGACUCAUCUGAUGAGAAACCACUGCAAGAAUCUCAUCCUGUUCACACAAGUCUGUGCAGCAUGCAUGUAUCAGCAUUUUUGGUGACCAGUGACUUCUCUUCUGAGGGACGUGAAUUCCAAAUGUGUGUUUGUUGUGACGUGUGUGAACCAUGUGCAUCAUGCCUCUUGUCACAAUACGUGCCUGCUGCACACGCAUUGAAAAGGUUUAUGAUAAAAGAAGCACUCAUGUUCACAAAAUACUCGCAAGACACUAACUUGACACUAAACUGUAAUUACACAGGAGAUUAAGUGAGUAUCAGGCAAACGUGAGCAUAUCAUUUAUCAUAAACCCUUUACAUGCGUGUGCAGCAGAUUUUGACAUCACGUGUGAUGCACAUAAGUUUACAUGAUGUGCUGAACACAUAUUUUGAAAUGACGAGCCACACACAUGACGAGCUCAAUGCAUGUGACCAGCUUCGCAACGUGCGCCCUCGAAAAAGAAGUCACCGGCCGACACUGACCCAGAUCAUCAAGAUGUUAAAGCUGUUUGGGCUUCAGAGCAUCUUGUCAGCACCUUCUUCCACCAUGUACACAAUUUCUACCAUCGUGAAGGCGUGGCAGAAUGAAAGAUUUGCAGUCACCACAGGCAGCACUGUCCUGUCUUCCACUACACCUGCUCCCCUCUCCAGAUCCAUCCAGAGGAUCAACAAGGCUGAAGCUGUUGGGAUCUAUUAAUCACAUCAUUCACAAUUUAACACACUUCAACACAUUAUUAUAAUACCCUGCACAUAUGAUGGGAAAGAUACUGAAAAAUUGUUAAAUGUUUUUAAAUGGGUCAGAUUGUAUAUCUUUUUUUCGGUGCUACAUAAAUAAAACUAAAUCGAAUUACAAAUGCAGAUCUACUUGGUAUAUAUCUGAUCUAAACUUCAUAAACCAGUUUUUAUACGGUAAGACAAUUUGUGAUUAUUGUUUAUUGAUUGUCACAAAAUGGGGGUAUUCAAACCAUUUAUAAAGUCCUCCUUCCUCUGGAACCUGUUCUUGAAUGGCUGACACAUGUAGGUAAGGGCGCCUGCACAGAGUUCCUUAGACGCCCAGCGGAUAACUUGCCUAUGCUGUAUUUAGUGGUAUUGUCUGGAGAUGGGAAAACUAUUAAUAUUGUUAAUUUGAAUAUUGACUAGUGCCAGCAAAAAUUGUUACUUAGUCAUGACCUAUAGGCAACUUGUAAUUAAAACAAAUUCAUUAAGAUUGUUUAAAAACAAAUUUAUUAAGAUUGUUUUAACAUUCAAAUCUUUAGUUUACUGUUCAUUUAUACAUGGAUAUUAAAUAAAUUAGUAAUAAAUAAUCUCUGCCAUAAACAUACUCAUUUCUACUGGCCUGGCCUGUAGCACAUAUGGGUUCAGACAGCUCACCUCUCCUGCGGUGAUGAGCAACAUCUGUAUCACCUAACG